CAGCCAUAUCACAUUGAAACACCGAUUCUUGUUUGAUCACCGAAAUUAAGCAAGCUCGAACCAGGUCAGUACCGAGAUGGGUGACCGGUUGGGAAUACCAGUUGUU
Non-coding RNA from Acanthosepion pharaonis, 106 nucleotides. The record is from the annotation of a GenBank genome assembly. Lineage: Eukaryota; Metazoa; Mollusca; Cephalopoda; Sepiida; Sepiidae.